RNAcentral lists this ribosomal RNA (301 nucleotides) under uncultured bacterium. Its description in RNAcentral is "partial 16S ribosomal RNA". It matches the Rfam family "Bacterial small subunit ribosomal RNA", at positions 509 to 807 of the family's 1533-position model. The record is from RNAcentral.
CAGCCGCCGCGGUAAUACAUAGGGUGCGAGCGUUAAUCGGAUUUACUGGGCGUAAAGCGUGCGUAGGCGGCUUUUUAAGUCGGAUGUGAAAUCCCUGAGCUUAACUUAGGAAUUGCAUUCGAUACUGGGAAGCUAGAGUAUGGGAGAGGAUGGUAGAAUUCCAGGUGUAGCGGUGAAAUGCGUAGAGAUCUGGAGGAAUACCGAUGGCGAAGGCAGCCAUCUGGCCUAAUACUGACGCUGAGGUACGAAAGCAUGGGGAGCAAACAGGAUUAGAGACCCCCGUAGUCCCUGUCUCUUAUAC